Molecule: ribosomal RNA, 401 nt
Filed under: uncultured bacterium
Lineage: Bacteria
Description: bacterial SSU rRNA
Rfam family: Bacterial small subunit ribosomal RNA
Source: RNAcentral
AACGAACGCUGGCGGCGUGCCUAACACAUGCAAGUCGAGCGAGAAAGGGGAGCAAUCCCUGAGUAAAGCGGCAGACGGGUGAGUAACACGUGGGUAAUCUGCCCUCGAGCGGGGAAUAACAUCUCGAAAGAGGUGCUAAUACCGCAUAACAUCCAGGGGCCUGAGGGCUUUUGGAUCAAAGGUGGGGAUCUUCGGACCUACCACUCGAGGAGGAGCCCGCGCCUGAUUAGCUAGUUGGUGGGGUAAUGGCCUACCAAGGCGACGAUCAGUAGCCGGCCUGAGAGGGUGAACGGCCACACUGGAACUGAGACACGGUUCCAGACUCCUACGGGAGGCAGCAGUGGGAAUAUUGGACAAUGGGCGCAAGCCUGAUCCAGCCAUGCCGCGUGUGUAGAAGAAGG